ACAGGAGCAGGGGAGGUGGAUCUGCAGGGUUUGAGCUUGUUCUACAGUCACUGUUCACGGGGCUGACGACGAAGUGUGGGUAGAACCAGGGAAGCUGAAGGAACUAUAAUAGAGAAGAAAACAAUGUUGUUAGAGGUAAAGCAUGGCAGAAUUUAACCCAGAAGAACCACAGACAAUGCGGUAUGUUAAUUCACCGUUAUGUGCUGCUCUAAACUGCUUUCCAGGAACUUCUCCACACACCUUUAUGGUACAGGUGAGCCAAUGUAAAGAGUGAAUAAAAUCUGGAGGGCCGGCACUGUGGCGCAGCGGGUUAACACCCUGGCCUGAAGCACCAGCAUCCCACAUGGGCACCGGUUUGAGACCCAGUUGCUCCACUUCCGAUCCAGCUCUCUGCUAUGGCCUGGGAAAGCAGUAGAAGAUGGCUCAAGUCCUUGGGUCCCUGCACCAGUGUGGGAGAUCCAGAAGAAGCUUCUGCUCCUGGCUUCAGAUCAGCACAACUCCAGCCAUUGCGGUCAUUUGGGGAGUGAACCAUCGGAUGGAAUACCUCUCUCUCUGCCUCUCCUCUCUUUGUGUAACUCUUUCAAAUAAAUAAAUAAAUCUUAAAAAGGGGGGGGGGGGUUGACUAUCUCUCAGGUAACAGAAGUAUUCAAAGUAGAUCUGCUUCCAAUUCACCUGCUCUUGUUCACCAUUUCAAUUCUAUCUUCAGUGCUGCUAAUUUGACACUUUUUAGUGUUGGUUUACCUAAGUUAGUGAUU
Lepus europaeus (European hare) is the source of this 755-nucleotide long non-coding RNA. RefSeq lists it as uncharacterized. NCBI's taxonomy places the organism in Eukaryota, Metazoa, Chordata, Mammalia, Lagomorpha, Leporidae. The transcript has 3 exons. The record is from RefSeq and is a predicted model, not a curated record.